RNAcentral lists this long non-coding RNA (735 nucleotides) under Chinchilla lanigera (long-tailed chinchilla). Its description in RNAcentral is "lncRNA (ENSCLAG00000027915.1)". The record is from RNAcentral. Lineage: Eukaryota; Metazoa; Chordata; Mammalia; Rodentia; Chinchillidae.
AUUAAACCAAGUUCCUGUCCUUUCUUCCUCCUUAGGAUGAAAUCUUUCUUGUGAGACAGGCACAGGUGUCAUAGACUAUGACACUAGCCCCAGAGGCGGCUGGAGGUUGGUAGAAAGGUAAAGCCUCAACGGAAUCUGAGAGGCCAAAAAGUUCAAGUGGGCAUUUAGCAAACGGAAUUAUCUCAGGCCAGUCCGGGGUUCUGCAUGCUGCAACAUAGCUCCUCGUACAGAUGGAUUCUGAAAUAGUUCCAGGUGCACAUUUGGAUAUUGAUGUUGUUAGUUUCUUCAAAGAAGGAGUGAUGAGGAAAAGCAUGGGCAGCAUACGGAGUUGUCUGGGCAUCCUGACAUUAGAAUGAAAGCCACACACGAUCACACAAAAAGGACCAGGAAGAAAACCCCGAAUCUUCCCCUGAAGCAACAUACACAGGAAUUUUACUUUAGAAUAAAAUAUCUUUUAUGAAAUUUAGAAUUUCCUUUUUUUAUUUUAAAGACAGUAGUAAAAAAAAAAAAGAACAAUAACAACAUACCAACAUCACAGACAUAAAUAAAACAAAGCAAGAAUAUUAAAAAUGACACAGGGUUUUAAAACAAAAUGAUAGCAAUUCACAGUGGUUGUUAAAUUGCAUAUUGUUAUCUUCAACUACAUUGCUCGGAUUACCAGACGUAAGAAUGCAAGAUUGUUCAAACCAUUAAAAAGAAUAAAAAAAAAAUAAAAUAAUAAUUAAAUAAAACUUU